UAGGACUUCAAAAUAUGAAUGGAACUGAACCCGGGCUGCUGAGAUGGAGCACUCCAAACUUAACCACCAGGCCACAGGGCCGGCCUCCAACUCUUUUAAUCUGUUAAAGGAUGUCCAUCAAAAAUCCACAAAACUCAAUAUGCGUGGUUUUUAAAGAAAGUCGACCAUGGAAACUACACUGAGAAUGGUAAGAUUGAUAUUCCCAAUCCCUUCCAAAACUUGGAGCCUUCUCCUUUUCCAUGCCAACCCACACGACGCAAAGAAAUGGAGUAGCAUUCCGAGAAAAGGAGUUGGGAGAAUGGAGAAGAGGAAAAGGUGAAAGUGAGGUGGUCUCACGUAUGGUCACAGAAAGAGCAAUCAAUCAAUCAAUCAAUCAUAAAAAUAACUCUGGGAGUCUCAAUUUUGACCAAAAAAUCUAUGAUUUUUGUCAAUGCGAAUUUGAUUUGCCUGAAGUGUUGUUUCCUCAAAAUGGGCCAGAACAAAGCUUGCCCUUGCUGAACAGCUGCUGUCUCUGUCCCCGAGACCAUGAACAACAGACAAGACCGGACAGAGGCACUUGCUGAGGGAACCUACAAACUACAGUGACCUUCCCAGGACAGUGGGUCUACAAAGGUGACCUCUAUAAGGAGUUUCACUCCCCCAAGCCUGAACUACUUUGCUUUUCUUCCUGAAAGAGACCCCCUAUCCAUGGGUUAACUGUCUUGUGAUUCAAAACUGCUUCCAGAGCAAUUGUGUCUCAGUGUGUCAUAUGAAAGGGGUGCGUGCUUUUCCCCAAGAAAUGGGCAGUAAAUUAAGAAGUGGGCAUCUCUUGAGAUAUCUCUGAAAUAAAGAAGGUUUCUAAAUGGAGGAAACUGGGUAUAGGCGGCUGGGGAAGAUUUAACCUCCUCUUUUUCUUACCAGUUUUCUCUCUUCUUCUUUUUACCUCCUUGGUUCUCCCACAACACUCUUGGAGGAAGUCCUGCUCACAAAAAACACAUUCUCGUUAUCAACUGGCCUGUGUGAGAGCAAGGCGUGCAGCCACCAUUGCUCCCUCCAGACAGACAGCGAGGAGAUGGGGCUGCUGAGUGUCUGUGGUGUCUAGGGUCGCUCCUCACCCCAAAGAGGCAAUGAUUUCAGGAAGCGAAGGCUCUCAUCGCGGGCUGACUGAUGACAGGGUUUGGAAUGGAGGGUCUUGUGGACAGUUUGUGAAAACUCUCCCAAGGAGCUUACGAGUUUCUUCCACGUCUAAAAGGCCUGUUAACACUGAGCCACAUGAAAAAAUAAUACUCUGGAGCGGUUUUCCCCCCUCCAUGAUGUGAUUAACAUCUGAAACUACUCAAAUUAUACUCCAAUGAGGAAAACUUCAACAAGAAAAGCUCUCCUCAACAUUAAAAGAGUCUACUUGUUUUGUAAUCUGCA
RNAcentral lists this long non-coding RNA (1398 nucleotides) under Equus caballus (horse). RNAcentral's name for it is "lncRNA (ENSECAG00000053445.1)". Lineage: Eukaryota; Metazoa; Chordata; Mammalia; Perissodactyla; Equidae. The record is from RNAcentral.